AGAGUUUGAUCCUGGCUCAGAUUGAACGCUGGCGGCAGGCCUAACACAUGCAAGUCGAACGGCAGCACAGAGAGCUUGCUCUCGGGUGACGAGUGGCGGACGGGUGAGUAAUGUCUGGGAAACUGCCUGAUGGAGGGGGAUAACUACUGGAAACGGUAGCUAAUACCGCAUAACGUCGCAAGACCAAAGAGGGGGACCUUCGGGCCUCUUGCCAUCAGAUGUGCCCAGAUGGGAUUAGCUAGUAGGUGGGGUAACGGCUCACCUAGGCGACGAUCCCUAGCUGGUCUGAGAGGAUGACCAGCCACACUGGAACUGAGACACGGUCCAGACUCCUACGGGAGGCAGCAGUGGGGAAUAUUGCACAAUGGGCGCAAGCCUGAUGCAGCCAUGCCGCGUGUAUGAAGAAGGCCUUCGGGUUGUAAAGUACUUUCAGCGGGGAGGAAGGUGUUGCGGUUAAUAACCGCAGCAAUUGACGUUACCCGCAGAAGAAGCACCGGCUAACUCCGUGCCAGCAGCCGCGGUAAUACGGAGGGUGCAAGCGUUAAUCGGAAUUACUGGGCGUAAAGCGCACGCAGGCGGUCUGUCAAGUCGGAUGUGAAAUCCCCGGGCUCAACCUGGGAACUGCAUUCGAAACUGGCAGGCUAGAGUCUUGUAGAGGGGGGUAGAAUUCCAGGUGUAGCGGUGAAAUGCGUAGAGAUCUGGAGGAAUACCGGUGGCGAAGGCGGCCCCCUGGACAAAGACUGACGCUCAGGUGCGAAAGCGUGGGGAGCAAACAGGAUUAGAUACCCUGGUAGUCCACGCCGUAAACGAUGUCGACUUGGAGGUUGUGCCCUUGAGGCGUGGCUUCCGGAGCUAACGCGUUAAGUCGACCGCCUGGGGAGUACGGCCGCAAGGUUAAAACUCAAAUGAAUUGACGGGGGCCCGCACAAGCGGUGGAGCAUGUGGUUUAAUUCGAUGCAACGCGAAGAACCUUACCUACUCUUGACAUCCAGAGAACUUUCCAGAGAUGGAUUGGUGCCUUCGGGAACUCUGAGACAGGUGCUGCAUGGCUGUCGUCAGCUCGUGUUGUGAAAUGUUGGGUUAAGUCCCGCAACGAGCGCAACCCUUAUCCUUUGUUGCCAGCGGUCCGGCCGGGAACUCAAAGGAGACUGCCAGUGAUAAACUGGAGGAAGGUGGGGAUGACGUCAAGUCAUCAUGGCCCUUACGAGUAGGGCUACACACGUGCUACAAUGGCGCAUACAAAGAGAAGCGAACUCGCGAGAGCAAGCGGACCUCAUAAAGUGCGUCGUAGUCCGGAUUGGAGUCUGCAACUCGACUCCAUGAAGUCGGAAUCGCUAGUAAUCGUAGAUCAGAAUGCUACGGUGAAUACGUUCCCGGGCCUUGUACACACCGCCCGUCACACCAUGGGAGUGGGUUGCAAAAGAAGUAGGUAGCUUAACCUUCGGGAGGGCGCUUACCACUUUGUGAUUCGUGACUGGGGUGAAGUCGUAACAAGGUAACCGUAGGGGAACCUGCGGCUGGAUCACCUCCUU
RNAcentral lists this ribosomal RNA (1532 nucleotides) under Enterobacter sp. db-3. RNAcentral describes it as "bacterial SSU rRNA". It matches the Rfam family "Bacterial small subunit ribosomal RNA". The record is from RNAcentral. Lineage: Bacteria; Pseudomonadati; Pseudomonadota; Gammaproteobacteria; Enterobacterales; Enterobacteriaceae.